GCCUUCGUGGCCUAACGGAUAAGGCGUCGGCUUUCUAAGCCGAAGUUUGCGGGUUCGAAUCCCGUCGGAGGUA
Molecule: transfer RNA, 73 nt
Filed under: Dendronephthya gigantea
Lineage: Eukaryota; Metazoa; Cnidaria; Anthozoa; Malacalcyonacea; Nephtheidae
Description: tRNA-Arg
Rfam family: tRNA
About the family: Transfer RNA (tRNA) molecules are approximately 80 nucleotides in length.
Source: RNAcentral